This 444-nucleotide ribosomal RNA is filed under the name Demospongiae sp. GW3236. Its description in RNAcentral is "eukaryotic LSU rRNA". Lineage: Eukaryota; Metazoa; Porifera; Demospongiae. The record is from RNAcentral.
CGAGUCCCACAGCUCCAACAGCACGAGAAAGCCUCAAGUCGGGCGCCACCUGAAGACGGGCGGCAACCACGUGAGCGGCAACCUCAACCUGGCAGUCAGCCCUUCUCUGGGAACCCCGGACGAACAGCCGCCAAGCCCUCCAUACGGAGCGCCAAAGGGAAGCCCCUCGGGCUCCACUGCAUGUCGGCCGGCAGCACCAGGGCCAAAAGAAAGUCCACGCAAACCUACAGACAAGCAGGCCUUACCCUUCCGCGUCAGAGGGGCAGCACCCUCCAGCUCGGCCAGGACGCCAACGCGACGGGCCACCCUGAGCACGAGGCAAGAGAGAGGCAAUGGAGCACACGCCUCGUCCCACGCCGCGCCGGGCGGCCACUACCACAGGGAGCCCCGGACGCAAGGUACGGAGACGCAGAUCCACUGACCGCUUCUCAGCAAUGGGACACG